AAAAUGAUGAAAAUGGAGGUUGGAGGUUGAAAAUGAAGAAAAGUGGAGGUUGGAAAUGGGAAAAUUGAGGUUAGAGGUUAAAGAUGGGGGAAAAUAAAGGCCGGAGAUGAUAAAAAAAGGAGGUUGAAGAUAAGGAAAAAUGGAGGCUGGAGGUUGGAGAUGAGAAAAAAUUGAGGUUAGAUGUUGGAGAUGGAUUAAGGAAGAAGAAGACGAAUUUGUAAAAUUAAUAUUUUGGAUUUCCUCCUCCCAUACCACGUCACUAGUGCCACAUAAACAACGUUUGCCAUGUUGCC
Molecule: long non-coding RNA, 293 nt
Filed under: Lathyrus oleraceus (garden pea)
Lineage: Eukaryota; Viridiplantae; Streptophyta; Magnoliopsida; Fabales; Fabaceae
Description: Pisum sativum (pea) long non-coding RNA (PSAT_LNC034377)
Source: RNAcentral